CUUGAACUUUCUCGGAAAAGCUGUUGAUCCUCUGCUCAGACCCAUGAUCUAGCAGCAACUCUUAACCAGGGGCCACUCCAUCCCCCAGUUUCUGCAGCUUGAUGCUGGUGUCUCCCAGGAUCAGCCACAUGAUGUAAAGAAACAGAAGAGAAGAAUCAGAGGCAGAAGGACAGAUAUCUGUCGUGUGUUCAUCUCAGCAACUCACACCUCACUUCUGAGGCUAAACUCGGGCUUUCUGGCACGUGACCUAACCUGAUACCAUGCUCCUUGAUCUGAAUCCACCUUACUUCCAUUCUCUGCUCUCAGAAAAAAGUCUACACGUCUGGACGUGAACUUGACAGUGAUCAUCCUGGAGACGGUAUGUCACUGGCACUAUACAUAAGUUUUUAGCCUGUUUGAAAUCUGAAAUGUUAGCUGGUUUUACUCUUGAAUAAAAAAUAAAAUAAAAUAAAAUAAAAAUAAAAA
This is a long non-coding RNA of Bos indicus x Bos taurus (hybrid cattle), 465 nucleotides long. NCBI's taxonomy places the organism in Eukaryota, Metazoa, Chordata, Mammalia, Artiodactyla, Bovidae. The record is from Ensembl.